GCAUCAAUGGGGCAGCGGUAACCUGGGUCGCUGCCAUGAAUAUUGCACCUGAGCAUACUCGACCCGCCGGGGAUUCGAUUCCCCCUUGAUGCA
Dendrothele bispora CBS 962.96 is the source of this 93-nucleotide non-coding RNA. The record is from the annotation of a GenBank genome assembly. NCBI's taxonomy places the organism in Eukaryota, Fungi, Basidiomycota, Agaricomycetes, Agaricales.